Non-coding RNA from Pangasianodon gigas (Mekong giant catfish), 73 nucleotides. The record is from the annotation of a GenBank genome assembly. Lineage: Eukaryota; Metazoa; Chordata; Actinopteri; Siluriformes; Pangasiidae.
GGCGCAGUGGCUUAGUGGUUAGUACUGUCGCCUGUCACCUCCAGGGUUGGGGGUUUGAAUCCCACCUCCGCUC